RNAcentral lists this long non-coding RNA (1405 nucleotides) under Nicotiana tabacum (common tobacco). RNAcentral's name for it is "long non-coding RNA (NTAB_LNC018262)". The record is from RNAcentral. Lineage: Eukaryota; Viridiplantae; Streptophyta; Magnoliopsida; Solanales; Solanaceae.
UUUCCUAGAACUAGAUCAUGCUCUCUGUUAUAGUACAUUUGUUGAAGAUAGUUAAUGUCAAUUUGGAAUCUACUUUUCAAUAAUUGAGUUUCCAGCAACCAAGUAUGACUAAAAGUUUCUGACAUUUCUUAACUAGAUGGAAUGACGGCUUGUUCAGAAGUUAGUAUGACUUUGAAUAUCCAAAUUUAGGCUUAUGAUUUGAGCCACAAUGUGGAAAAAGUCAUCUUUUUAAUAUGGCUUGUAAUUUAGAUAUGGUCUUAUAUAUCUUUCUGGAGAGCGAAGUUGUGAAAUCUGUUGUUAAAGUUGUGUGUAGGAACAAGCAAAUGGAGAACAUUAAGCUAUAAUCCUAAAUCUAAAUCUAGGGAUAAAUAACUUGAGGUGGACUUGUUGUUCCAUCUAGCAUGUUGGGUAACUCCUUUUCCCUUUUCAAUAUUCGCUUAUACACUUUCCUCUAUUACAAUACUCCUCUUUGCUAGUUCUUUCUAUAGCUUCUCCUUCUAUUUGACUCAAUUGAUCUUUUUAGCAGUUUUAUUAAAAUUUCUCACCUAUACUACUGUUAAUCAUACGUACUCUAUUUGGAGAAAAAUUUGAGUGAUCUUUUGCUUGUUGGUUUGGCUGAUGAAGUUAGAGUGCGAAUAAUGUAGAACAUUAAAAUGACAUGGUAGUUAGUUGGAACAUCAUUCCAUAAUCUCAACUGUGAAGGAGAUAUUCUAUGCAGAUGAUUCUAUGGACCAACAAGGUCUAGGAAGUUUAUCCUUGGGUUGUAGGCCAUAUUUCUCAUACUAGAGUAGGCUACAAGUUAUAGCUUUGUUAAAUUCAGAGGUGGUCUUACUGCUAAUCUUGCCAUUGCAAGUCUUUCCAUUCCAAGAUAAAGAGGGUGCUUGGAGGAUUUUAUAUAAUGAAAUCAAGAUAGAUAGGAUUUUACAAGUUUGUUAAAAGAAAAAUAUUCAACUAGUAUGACAGGCCCCAUAUUCCCGCUUUGUUCCACCUCUGGUUUAUGCCUUCAUAGUUCAUGGGCAGUUAAAAAAAAAUAGCCAGUGAUUCACCUAUAUUGUAAGUCAAUUAUUCCUUAUAUUCUUUUCUGUGAAAAGAUAGACUAAUAGAAUUUAUGUCUUCAAUACAACUAAACUCUUUUUCUAUUUGAUUCAUUCAUCUUUUCUUUUUUUUAAAACAAAGUUCAUUAUUGUCAUUUCAGGUCAUAUGCUAUGAUGUUCAGAAAUUUGACAUGUGGAAGACUUCACUAUGAUAAAGAGUUAGAGAAACUGUUACGCGUAAUGUAUCGUCUAGUAUCGUAGUAGCUAUUAUUAGUUGUUGGACACAAAGUGACACUAGUAACUAUUAGAUCAGAAUAGUUUAAUUUUUUUUGUUGUUGAUACAUUUAAUGAAAAGUAUUAGUAUUAUUUUU